GUGUUUGAGAAAGUACCCUUAAACACACAGAAAAAUGGGGUUGGACUUCCUUCCUGGUGUUGGAGAGAGGAGCUUGUUCAGCCCAGUCUGAUGUGGUGUGCUGCCUCUUCUUGGUUCAGCCCGAAGAUUCAGACCCAAUCACUUCUUAAGGAGAGGUUAUAAAUGCUGACUAAUUAGAUUCAUUACCAAAGAAGAGGAAAUUACAGAAGUCAAGAGGAAGGUCUGAAGAGGGAUCUGAAGAGGAUUUUCCCUGUCUUGAACCAAGGAAGGGUUUCUGUAUCUAGCUGCUGGCAGCAUUCAGUCUCACUUGGACAUCAGGACUUGCUUGGACAUCUAAAACAACAGAUCCUGGAUCUAACUGGUUUUGGACCCCUGCUGAGUCUAUUAUCCUUGAAGAAUGCAAGUGAAUUCCAGAGAGUCUGUUUUAUUAUCUCUGCAACAUUGUCUAUGAUUCAAGAAAAUCUAGUCUGAUAUUGCUGUGACAUUAAUUCCCUACUCAGAUGACACUGCCAAUGACACUAUUUUCCAUAGUGACAAUAUGGAAGAAAAGAUUAUUGCUAGAAUUGCUUUCUGAAUUUCUAGUCAAUUGUAAAUAUUAAAAAUUAAUUUGCCAUACUCCAAGUAUUAUAUUUAAUUAAUAAUAAAACUUGAAGCAAAGGAAAACA
This 665-nucleotide long non-coding RNA is filed under the name Monodelphis domestica (gray short-tailed opossum). RNAcentral's name for it is "lncRNA (ENSMODG00000043021.1)". Lineage: Eukaryota; Metazoa; Chordata; Mammalia; Didelphimorphia; Didelphidae. The record is from RNAcentral.